Molecule: ribosomal RNA, 875 nt
Filed under: Corynebacterium pilbarense
Lineage: Bacteria; Bacillati; Actinomycetota; Actinomycetes; Mycobacteriales; Corynebacteriaceae
Description: bacterial SSU rRNA
Rfam family: Bacterial small subunit ribosomal RNA
Source: RNAcentral
GGGUGAGUAACACGUGGGUGAUCUGCCCUGCACUUCGGGAUAAGCCUGGGAAACUGGGUCUAAUACCGGAUAGGACCAUGUUUUGGAUGGUGUUGUGGAAAGUUUUUCGGUGUGGGAUGAGCUCGCGGCCUAUCAGCUUGUUGGUGGGGUAAUGGCCUACCAAGGCGUCGACGGGUAGCCGGCCUGAGAGGGUGUACGGCCACAUUGGGACUGAGAUACGGCCCAGACUCCUACGGGAGGCAGCAGUGGGGAAUAUUGCACAAUGGGCGCAAGCCUGAUGCAGCGACGCCGCGUGGGGGAUGACGGCCUUCGGGUUGUAAACUCCUUUCGCUAGGGACGAAGCGCAAGUGACGGUACCUGGAGAAGAAGCACCGGCUAACUACGUGCCAGCAGCCGCGGUAAUACGUAGGGUGCGAGCGUUGUCCGGAAUUACUGGGCGUAAAGAGCUCGUAGGUGGUUUGUCGCGUCGUUUGUGUAAGCCCGCAGCUUAACUGCGGGACUGCAGGCGAUACGGGCAUAACUUGAGUGCUGUAGGGGAGACUGGAAUUCCUGGUGUAGCGGUGGAAUGCGCAGAUAUCAGGAGGAACACCGAUGGCGAAGGCAGGUCUCUGGGCAGUAACUGACGCUGAGGAGCGAAAGCAUGGGUAGCGAACAGGAUUAGAUACCCUGGUAGUCCAUGCCGUAAACGGUGGGCGCUAGGUGUGAGUCCCUUCCACGGGGUUCGUGCCGUAGCUAACGCAUUAAGCGCCCCGCCUGGGGAGUACGGCCGCAAGGCUAAAACUCACAGGAAUUGACGGGGGCCCGCACAAGCGGCGGAGCAUGUGGAUUAAUUCCAUGCAACGCGCAAAAACCUUACCUGGGGCUUGACAUACACC